AUGGGUGACCAAAAUGUCAUUAACGAAGUCCCCGCAGCUUUAAAGCGUUUGGCAAAAUACGUAGUGCGUGGAUUCUAUGGGGUGGAAUAUUCCCUCACUCUUGAUAUUCUCAUUCGCUAUCCUUGUGUGAAGGAGGAUGAUUUGCAACAACUACUAAAGUUUGAGAAAAAGCAGCUCCGAUCUGUUCUCAACACACUGAAAUCUGACAAGUUUCUGAAGAGUCGAAUAAGAGUUGAAACAAAUUCUGAGGGAAAGAGUUCCAGACAUAAUUAUUAUCAUAUCAACUAUAAGCUGUUAGUGGAUGUAGUCAAAUACAAACUGGACAUUAUGCGCAGGAAGAUCGAAACAGACGAGAGAAAUUCGACCACAAGAUCAUCGUUUAAAUGUCCGCUCUGUUUCAGCACAUUCACCGAUUUGGAAGUCAAUCAUUUGUUUGACCCUUGCACAGGCAAUUUUAACUGCACAUACUGCCAUACUGAGGUAGAAGAAGAUGCCUCUGCAAUACCUAAACGAGAUGCUCGAACCCUUCUGGCAACGUUUAACGAACAAAUUGAACCAAUUUAUGCACUUUUACAUGAAACUGAAGAUAUUGCUCUUCCACAUGAGCUUCUGGAACCCCAACCAACUGAGAUUCCAGAACUGGCACUAAGAAUCAGAAUGUACAAUGUCUUAAAAGUAAUGCUCAUCUGGAAAGAUGGUCAAACCAAACAGUUUACAGUGGCAUCUACGAACAAAACAUUGUAAUAAACGUGCAAGAAUCUGAUGCCAAAACUAAGGAAACUGCAAAGCUGGUUAAAUCGCAGCCCAUCUGGAUGACUGCAAGUACUGUUGAUGGAGCUGGUUUGGAUAUAGCGGAGAACUCAACUGAACAAACUGCUGCUGAAAUGUCUCAACAAAAUACAAAUUUGAACCACAAGACUCCAAAUUAUGAGGUCAUAAGAACACUUAUGAUUCAUGAGAAAAAAAUAUUAAGUGGAGCAACCUUCACUUCAAAUGCAAAUCGU
Molecule: RNA transcript, 1004 nt
Organism: Carcharodon carcharias (great white shark)
Lineage: Eukaryota; Metazoa; Chordata; Chondrichthyes; Lamniformes; Lamnidae
Gene name: general transcription factor IIE subunit 1-like
Exons: 4
Source: RefSeq, a predicted model, not a curated record